RNAcentral lists this unclassified non-coding RNA (233 nucleotides) under Hevea brasiliensis (rubber tree). Lineage: Eukaryota; Viridiplantae; Streptophyta; Magnoliopsida; Malpighiales; Euphorbiaceae. The record is from RNAcentral.
GUGGUGGAUGUGAAAUCUGAGAAGGCGAGCAAGUCGCCGUCUCCAAGUUCAUCAAAAAAGUCUAAGAGGCCGACUCAAUCGGAUCUAUCAACCAAAUCAAGCCCCAAGAACAAUGGAAACGCUGACAGUAGUGCUACAAAACCGCCCACCGGGCGCAUAAAGAAGAUGAAAAAUUCAACUACUGAAACUGAAGAUGCAGAUGCGGCAUCGGAUAACCCCGAUCUCGGGCCUUU